GCGGGAAUUCGAUUUUCCGGUUGAUCCUGCCGGAGGUCACUGCUAUCAGUAUUCGACUAAGCCAUGCGAGUCAAAUGUUUUUCGUAAACAUGGCGUACUGCUCAGUAACACGUGGAUAAUCUGCCCUAAGGUUAGGUAUAACUCCGGGAAACUGGUGAUAAUCCCUAAUAUGUCAUAGAUACUGGAAUGUUCUGUGAUUCAAAGCUCCGGCGCCUUAGGAUGAAUCUGCGGUCUAUCAGGUAGUAGUGGGUGUAACGUACCUACUAGCCGACGACGGAUACGGGUUGUGAGAGCAAGAGCCCGGAGAUGGAUUCUGAGACAUGAAUGCAGGCCGUACNGGGGCGCAGCAGGCACGAAAUCUUUACAAUCCAGGGAAACCGCGAUAAAGGGGAUACAUCGAGUGCCAGCAUAUUAUGUUGGCUGUCCACCAUGUAUAAACAGCAAGGUGUUAGCAAGGGCCGGGCAAGACCGGUGCCAGCCGCCGGCGGUAACACCGGCGGCCCGAGUGGUGGCCACUAUUAUUGGGUCUAAAGGGUCCGUAGCCGGUAUGAUCAGUCUUCCGGGAAAUCUGACAGCUCAACUGUUAGGCUUCUGGGGGAUACUGUCAGACUUGGGACCGGGAGAGGUAAGAGUACUACAGGGUAGGAGUGAAUC
This 654-nucleotide ribosomal RNA is filed under the name uncultured archaeon. RNAcentral describes it as "bacterial SSU rRNA". It matches the Rfam family "Archaeal small subunit ribosomal RNA", at positions 1 to 639 of the family's 1478-position model. The record is from RNAcentral.